AGUGAACGCUGGCGGUAGGCCUAACACAUGCAAGUCGAACGGCAGCACAGUAAGAGCUUGCCCUUACGGGUGGCGAGUGGCGGACGGGUGAGGAAUACAUCGGAAUCUACUUUUUCGUGGGGGAUAACGUAGGGAAACUUACGCUAAUACCGCAUGCGACCUACGGGUGAAAGCAGGGGAUCUUCGGACCUUGCGCGAUUGAAUGAGCCGAUGUCGGAUUAGCUAGUUGGCGGGGUAAAGGCCCACCAAGGCGACGAUCCGUAGCUGGUCUGAGAGGAUGAUCAGCCACACUGGAACUGAGACACGGUCCAGACUCCUACGGGAGGCAGCAGUGGGGAAUAUUGGACAAUGGGCGCAAGCCUGAUCCAGCCAUACCGCGUGGGUGAAGAAGGCCUUCGGGUUGUAAAGCCCUUUUGUUGGGAAAGAAAAGCAGCAGGUUAAUACCCCGCUGUUCUGACGGUACCCAAAGAAUAAGCACCGGCUAACUUCGUG
Molecule: ribosomal RNA, 492 nt
Filed under: uncultured bacterium
Lineage: Bacteria
Description: partial 16S ribosomal RNA
Rfam family: Bacterial small subunit ribosomal RNA
Source: RNAcentral